Molecule: non-coding RNA, 54 nt
Organism: Salmo salar (Atlantic salmon)
Lineage: Eukaryota; Metazoa; Chordata; Actinopteri; Salmoniformes; Salmonidae
Source: Rfam
UCUAAUUGCUCCUGUAAAUCGCUUUGGAUAAGAGUGUCUGCUAAAUGACAUAAA